RNAcentral lists this unclassified non-coding RNA (308 nucleotides) under plant metagenome. RNAcentral's name for it is "partial contains 5.8S ribosomal RNA, internal transcribed spacer 2, and large subunit ribosomal RNA". The stretch from base 1 to 105 matches the Rfam family "5.8S ribosomal RNA", at positions 50 to 154 of the family's 154-position model. The record is from RNAcentral.
GAAAUGCGAUAAGUAAUGUGCAUUGCAGAAUUCAGUGAAUCAUCGAAUCUUUGAACGCACAUUGCGCCCCUUGGUAUUCCGAGGGGCAUGCCUGUUCGAGCGUCAUUACAACCCUCAAGCUCUGCUUGGUAUUGGGCUCCGUCCUCACUGCGGAUGCGCCUCGAAGACCUCGGCGGUGGCUGUUCGGCCCUCAAGCGUAGUAGAAUACACCUCGCUUUGGAGCGGUCGGCGUCGCCUGCCGGACGAACCUUCUGAACUUUUCUCAAGGUUGACCUCGGAUCAUGUAGGGAUACCCGCUGAACGUAAGC